Molecule: ribosomal RNA, 1468 nt
Filed under: Pandaka lidwilli (Lidwill's dwarfgoby)
Lineage: Eukaryota; Metazoa; Chordata; Actinopteri; Gobiiformes; Gobiidae
Description: partial 16S ribosomal RNA
Rfam family: Bacterial large subunit ribosomal RNA
Source: RNAcentral
UAUCCCAACAGCUAGCUACAAGUUUAAAGAAAACAAACCCUAUCAAUAGCCCAAAAUACCCCAAAUCAACUCAAAUAAAUCAUUUUUUUUCAAAGUAUGGGUGACAGAAAAGAAAAAGCAAAGCAAUAGAUAAAGUACCGCAAGGGAAAGCUGAAAGAGAAAUGAAACAAAUCAGUGAAGAAACAGAAAGCAGAGACUAAAACUCGUACCUUUUGCAUCAUGAUUUAGCAAGACCUGACCAGGCAAAGAGACCUUUAGUCUGGCCCCCCGAAACCAAACGAGCUACUUCAAGACAGCCUUAUAGGGCAAACCCGUCUCUGUGGCAAAAGAGUGGGAAGAUCUUCAAGUAGAGGCGAAAAACCUACCGAGCUUGGUUAUAGCUGGUUGCACACAAAAAGAAUAGAAGUUCUGCCCUUGUGUGUUUUUGUUUAAUCCUAAGAUAUUUUGGGUAAUUUAAAGAAAUACAAGAGGUUAGUUAAAGGGGGGACAGCCCCUUUAACAAGAAAUACAACUCUGCCAGCAAGCAAAAGACCAUAAAGGGAAAAGGAUUUAUAUCUUGGUGGGCCUAAAAGCAGCCAUCCAAAAUGAAAGCGUUAAAGCUUAGAUAUCUACAUCACCCCCAAUUCUGGUACACAAUCUUAACCUGCUGGACACUAGUGAGCCUUUCUAUGCCCCCAUAGAAGUGAUCAUGCUAAAAUGAGUAAUAAGAGGGCAAAAGACCCUCUCCUAGCCCCUGUAUAAAUCAGAACGAACCUGCUCUGAAAAUUAACACCCCCAACAAAAGAGGGAAGAAGAUAAGACUUUUAAAAACAAGAAAAUCCCCUUAACAAAUAGUGUUAACCCCACACAGGAAAGCAUUUAGGAAAGACUAUAAGGAAGAGAAGGAACUCGGCAAACACCGGCCUCGCCUGUUUACCAAAAACAUCGCCUCUUGAAGCUCACCCAUAAGAGGUCCUGCCUGCCCUGUGACACUAGUUUAACGGCCGCGGUAUUUUGACCGUGCAAAGGUAGCGUAAUCAUUUGUCUUUUAAAUGGAGACCUGUAUGAAUGGCACAACGAGGGCUAAACUGUCUCCUUUCCCCAGUCAAUGAAAUUGAUCUCCCUGUGCAGAAGCAGGGAUACUAUCAUAAGACGAGAAGACCCCAUGGAGCUUAAGACUUUAGCAGCCCAUGUAAAAAACUGGCCGCCCCCAAGUUAACAGUGUGGCCCCUGCUUAAUGUCUUUGGUUGGGGCGACCACGGGACAAGAGAAAACUCCCAUGAAGAAUAGGACAACCCCCCUUUAAGAUAGAGCCCCAGCUCUGUUUUUCAGAAUAUCUGGCUAUCAGGAUCCGGCAAGGCCGAUCAACGGAAUGAGUUACCCUGGGGAUAACAGCGCAAUCCUUUUUUAGAGCCCAUAUCGACAAAAGGGUUUACGACCUCGAUGUUGGAUCAGGACAUCCUAAUGGUGCAGCCGCUAUUAAGGGUUC